RNAcentral lists this ribosomal RNA (468 nucleotides) under uncultured bacterium. RNAcentral's name for it is "partial 16S ribosomal RNA". It matches the Rfam family "Bacterial small subunit ribosomal RNA", at positions 28 to 507 of the family's 1533-position model. The record is from RNAcentral.
GACGAACGCUGGCGGCGGGCUUAACACAUGCAAGUCGAACGGAAAGGCCCUGCUUGUGUGGGGUGCUCGAGUGGCGAACGGGUGAGUAACACGUAAGUAACCUGCCCCUGACUUUCGGAUAACUUCAGGAAACUGGGGCUAAUACCGGAUAGGAGCUCCUGCUGCAUGGUGGGGGUUGGAAAGAUUCGGCGGUUGGGGAUGGACUCGCGGCUUAUCAGCUUGUUGGUGGGGUAGUGGCUUACCAAGGCUUUGACGGGUAGCUGGCCUGAGAGGGUGACCGGCCACAUUGGCACUGAGAUACGGCCCAGACUCCUACGGGAGGCAGCAGUGGGGAAUAUUGCACAAUGGGCGGAAGUCUGAUGCAGCAACGCCGCGUGCGGGAUGAUGGCCUUCGGGUUGUAAACCGCUUUCGCCUGUGCCGAAGCGUGAGUGACGGUAAUGGGUAAAGAAGCACCGGCUAACUACGUG